GUGGAAGCCGGAAGCCAACCAUC
Molecule: non-coding RNA, 23 nt
Filed under: Arabidopsis thaliana (thale cress)
Lineage: Eukaryota; Viridiplantae; Streptophyta; Magnoliopsida; Brassicales; Brassicaceae
Source: RNAcentral